ACAUUACAACAAAUGUUUAAAAAGCGCCCAAAAUCGAUUUGAAAGAUUUUCUGUCUAUAGUACAAUCAUGAUAGUAAUAGUAAGUGUGUGCCGCUGCAAUUAGAUUUGAUUACUGCAAUUUAAAAUUGUUUGGAGUCCAAGUAUCUUUUAAGUCAGCUGCCUGUGCUUGUAUUAAUAGUGCUUUGGUUCUCAGUUUUAUCAAGCUAAUGGACGUUUCUAAGCAAUUGCUUGAAGUUAAAAUUUUUUUAUGAACAGCGUUCCAAAGCUUGGCUGCAUUAAACAAAAAGGUAUUUGAUUUAUUUAGGAGAAUAACCAUUAGACUCGUUGCACGGUUUGAAAUGUUGAUAGCCUCAUAAAGGGAGUAUGGGCAGUGGUACUUGAUAAUCUUAGAGAAUUCUAAAAUACAGUGAUAUUUGUACAAGUUUUGAGCUGUAAGAAUUUUUAAUCUAUUAAAAAUGGGUUUUGUAUGCUCCUUUUCAAAGUGUUUAUGCAUUAUAUAUUUUCAAAUAUAGUUCAGAAGGUAUCGAGUGCCGAAUUCUGCAGAUUGCACCAGUCAUAGAUCGCAGUUUUUUACGGAUGUAGUGCAUGUGGGCAAUCCAGUUUAGCUUACUAUCUAUAACAACACCUAAGAAUUUGGUAUCCUUGACUUUAGUAAUAACCUUACCAUUGAUGAAUAUUGAUCUAGAUUCAUCUAGCAGGAUAGCAAAUGGUCUGGUCCGUGCACAGGUGUCAUCAUAUUCAGA
Molecule: long non-coding RNA, 743 nt
Organism: Bolinopsis microptera
Lineage: Eukaryota; Metazoa; Ctenophora; Tentaculata; Lobata; Bolinopsidae
Exons: 2
Source: RefSeq, a predicted model, not a curated record